GAUGAACGCUAGCGGCAGGCUUAAUACAUGCAAGUCGAGGGGCAACAGGGGUAGCAAUACCUGCUGGCGACCGGCAAACGGGUGCGCAACACGUACAGAGCCUUCCUUUAAGCGGGGAAUAGCCCAUAGAAAUGUGGAUUAAUACCCCAUGGUAUUGAUGUGUGGCAUCACAUAUUAAUUAAAGAUUUAUCACUUAAAGAUGGCUGUGCGUCUGAUUAGGUAGUUGGUGCAGGUAACGGCUCACCAAGCCAACGAUCAGUAACUGGUGUGAGAGCACGACCAGUCACACGGGCGACUGAGACACGGGCCCGGACUCCUACGGGAGGCAGCAGUAAGGAAUAUU
RNAcentral lists this ribosomal RNA (343 nucleotides) under uncultured bacterium. Its description in RNAcentral is "bacterial SSU rRNA". It matches the Rfam family "Bacterial small subunit ribosomal RNA", at positions 28 to 365 of the family's 1533-position model. The record is from RNAcentral.